This 245-nucleotide ribosomal RNA is filed under the name uncultured Pseudomonadota bacterium. RNAcentral describes it as "uncultured proteobacterium partial 16S ribosomal RNA". It matches the Rfam family "Bacterial small subunit ribosomal RNA", at positions 796 to 1041 of the family's 1533-position model. Lineage: Bacteria; Pseudomonadati; Pseudomonadota. The record is from RNAcentral.
CACGCCGUAAACGAUGGAUACUUGUUGUUGGUGGUAUUGACCCCAUCAGUGACGAAGCAAACGCGUUAAGUAUCCCGCCUGGGAAGUACGGCCGCAAGGUUAAAACUCAAAGAAAUUGACGGGGGCCCGCACAAGCGGUGGAGCAUGUGGUUUAAUUCGAUGCAACGCGAAGAACCUUACCUGGGUUUGACAUCUGGUGGAAGGGUCACAGAAAUGUGCCCGCCUUCGGGCCGCCAGACAGGUGC